CAGGUGGUUAAAAAAAAAAAAACAACUAAGAUUAUGGCAAUUCCUAGCCUAAAAGAGCUCCGAGUAUAAAGAACACAAAUAUGAAUUAAAAUAAUCAAUGUAAUUAAAACUGUUAUAGAAACACAAUGGACAGAAACAGUCCUUCUGUAGACGGGCCUCAUGGAAAACUCCAGAAAGCAGUGGACACCAGGUGGGUGCUUCAGGAUCUAUACCAACCCAACUGGAGAGUGUCAAAGAAGGAAAAUGGAGAAGGAAAAAGGAAAGUGGAAGGGACUACUCCUGUGUUAAAGGGUGAAAGAAGAGGGAACCAAAAGGUGAUGUUUAAAAACAGUGGUUGGACACACUUAUUCAACACAGUUGUUGGAAGUGUUGGCCACAACAAUCAGACAAGAAGAAAUAAAAAGCAUCCACAAUGGAAAGGAGAAAGGAAAUCUGUCACUGUUCACAGAUGACAUGCAGCUGUACACAGAAAACCCUACACACUCCACCCAAAACUACCAGAUCUAAUACAAGAACUCUGCAAAGUAGCAUAAUCUUGACAUUAAUACCCAGCAAUUAGUGGAACUGUUAUACAUCAAUAAUGAGCUACCAGAAAGAGAAACUAAGAAACCAAUUCCAUUUGCUAUUG
This is a long non-coding RNA of Phyllostomus discolor (pale spear-nosed bat), 628 nucleotides long. RefSeq lists it as uncharacterized. The record is from RefSeq and is a predicted model, not a curated record. Lineage: Eukaryota; Metazoa; Chordata; Mammalia; Chiroptera; Phyllostomidae. The transcript is spliced from 2 exons.